GGGCGGCUAACUCAGUGGUUAGAGUGCCAUCUUCACACGGUGGAAGUCGGGGGUUCGAAUCCCUCGCCGCCCA
This 73-nucleotide transfer RNA is filed under the name Isosphaeraceae bacterium. RNAcentral's name for it is "tRNA-Val". It matches the Rfam family "tRNA". Rfam says of the family: Transfer RNA (tRNA) molecules are approximately 80 nucleotides in length. The record is from RNAcentral. Lineage: Bacteria; Pseudomonadati; Planctomycetota; Planctomycetia; Isosphaerales; Isosphaeraceae.